Molecule: long non-coding RNA, 224 nt
Filed under: Elaeis guineensis (African oil palm)
Lineage: Eukaryota; Viridiplantae; Streptophyta; Magnoliopsida; Arecales; Arecaceae
Description: long non-coding RNA (EGUI_LNC048133)
Source: RNAcentral
GAAGAUACAAAAGUGUUGCAAAACAUCUCUAAUAGCUAGUUCCAACCUCCUAGUGGCUAGAAACUAACUUUCAAACCUUUCAAGAGCUUUAAGUGCAUGCAAACAUAUUGAAGAAGGUAAAUAAGAAGAAAAAUAAAGAGAAAACCUAAGAAACACUAAGAGUCUAUUUAAGAGAGUGCAUUCACUUUCCAACUACCACACUCUUGAGUUUUCAAAGGGUUCAA